UUUAUAAUCUCGGCACCUUCGGUGUCCGAGUUGUAAUCUAUAGAAAUGUUUUCCGCGUUGGACCGCACACAAGUCUGUUGGAAUACAGCGGCAUAGUGGUGAGACCCCCGUAUAUGGUGCGGACGCCCAGCGCUUUGUGAUACAUUUUCAAAGAGUCGAGUUGUUUGGGAAUGCAGCUCAAAUUGGGUGGUAAAUUCCAUCUAAAGCUAAAUAUUGGCGAGAGACCGAUAGCGAACAAGUACCGUGAGGGAAAGAUGAAAAGCACUUUGGAAAGAGAGUUAACAGUACGUGAAAUUGUUGGAAGGGAAACGCUUGAAGUCAGACUUGCUUGCCGAGCAAUCGGUUUGCAGGCCAGCAUCAGUUUUCCGGGAUGGAUAAUGGUAGAGAGAAGGUAGCAGUUUCGGCUGUGUUAUAGCUCUCUGCUGGAUACAUCUUGGGGGACUGAGGAACGCAGUGUGCCUUUGGCGGGGGUUUCGACCUCUUCACACUUAGGAUGCUGGUGGAAUGGCUUUAAACGACCCCUCUUGAAACACG
RNAcentral lists this ribosomal RNA (534 nucleotides) under Rhodotorula mucilaginosa. RNAcentral's name for it is "eukaryotic LSU rRNA". It matches the Rfam family "Eukaryotic large subunit ribosomal RNA", at positions 113 to 663 of the family's 3401-position model. The record is from RNAcentral. Lineage: Eukaryota; Fungi; Basidiomycota; Microbotryomycetes; Sporidiobolales; Sporidiobolaceae.